UGUUAGAGUUGUCCGCCAUGUUUAAAA
Molecule: non-coding RNA, 27 nt
Filed under: Bombyx mori (domestic silkworm)
Lineage: Eukaryota; Metazoa; Arthropoda; Insecta; Lepidoptera; Bombycidae
Source: RNAcentral